CCUCUCUCAGAGUCGCACCUGGAGAGUUUCCAGUACUCUACCAGCCUCAACUACAGGAGGGAGAGUCAAACAGAGGCAUAUUCAUUCCAUUUCUAGCUCGGGACAGUGGCUAGCGAGUGGAAGACAAUCUGCUACAAGU
Small nucleolar RNA from Tachyglossus aculeatus (Australian echidna), 139 nucleotides. NCBI's taxonomy places the organism in Eukaryota, Metazoa, Chordata, Mammalia, Monotremata, Tachyglossidae. The record is from RefSeq and is a predicted model, not a curated record.